Limnochorda pilosa is the source of this 172-nucleotide non-coding RNA. The record is from Rfam. NCBI's taxonomy places the organism in Bacteria, Bacillati, Bacillota, Limnochordia, Limnochordales, Limnochordaceae.
CCCAUCGCGAGGUGGGAUCCGAAGGAAGCCGAAGGCAACGCGCUAGCCCGACGAACAGGAAUCGCAUACGAGGCGGGCACGCUGGGUGGGAAGGCACAACUCUUCAAAGCCCGAUACCUGUGCGGAAAGCGUGCACGCAUAUGCGGCGGGCAUAAGUGCGAAGGUGAGUGCG